GUCUAUGGCCAUACCACCCUGAACAUCUGACUUCAGAAGUUAAGCAGUGUCGGGCCUGGUUCAUACUUGGAUGGGGACAAGGAGAGGGCAUAUGCCUGUUUAAAACA
RNAcentral lists this ribosomal RNA (107 nucleotides) under Octodon degus (degu). Lineage: Eukaryota; Metazoa; Chordata; Mammalia; Rodentia; Octodontidae. The record is from RNAcentral.